This 152-nucleotide transfer-messenger RNA is filed under the name Dichelobacter nodosus. RNAcentral's name for it is "transfer-messenger RNA Diche_nodos_A198". It matches the Rfam family "transfer-messenger RNA", at positions 218 to 374 of the family's 374-position model. Rfam says of the family: Bacterial tmRNA, also known as 10Sa RNA or SsrA, is named for its dual tRNA and mRNA-like properties. Its role is to liberate the mRNA from a stalled ribosome. The record is from RNAcentral. Lineage: Bacteria; Pseudomonadati; Pseudomonadota; Gammaproteobacteria; Cardiobacteriales; Cardiobacteriaceae.
GUCCGCUGUUAAUCGGUUAAAUUAAGCGGAAUCGCUUGUAAAAUGCCUGAGCGUUGGCUGUUUAUGAGUUAAACCUAAUUAACUGCUCUAAACAUGUAGUACCAAAAGUUAAGGAUUCGCGGACGGGGGUUCAAAUCCCCCCGCCUCCACCA